GGAAUCUUCGGCAAUGGGGGCAACCCUGACCGAGCAACGCCGCGUGAGUGAGAAGGUCUUCGGAUUGUAAAGCUCUGUUACGAGGGACGAACGGUGGGGUCAGGAAAUGGGCCCCAAUUGACGGUACCUCGCCAGAAAGUGACGGCUAACUACGUGCCAGCAGCCGCGGUAAUACGUAGGUCACGAGCGUUAUCCGGAAUUAUUGGGCGUAAAGAGUGAGCAGGCGGCACUGUAAGUUGGAAGUGAAAGCGUGGGGCUUAACCCCAUACAGCUCCCAAAACUGCAGAGCUAGAGUGCGUGAGAGGUAAACGGAACUCCAUGUGUAGCGGUGAAAUGCGUAGAUAUAUGGAAGAACACCAGCGGCGAAGGCGGUUUACCAGCACGAUACUGACGCUCAGUCACGAAAGCGUGGGUAGCAAAUA
RNAcentral lists this ribosomal RNA (422 nucleotides) under uncultured bacterium. RNAcentral's name for it is "bacterial SSU rRNA". It matches the Rfam family "Bacterial small subunit ribosomal RNA", at positions 358 to 774 of the family's 1533-position model. The record is from RNAcentral.